AGCUCCAAUAGCGUAUAUUAAAGUUGUUGCAGUUAAAAAGCUCGUAGUUGGAUUGGUGUUGGUUAUACUUCACAUUGUUUAACUACUUUGUGGAUCAAUUUAACCAAUAUAUUUGGGAUUUGGUCUAGAAUGGCAUUAAGUUGUUGAUUUAGUUCCAGCCCAUCGUUUACUGUGAAAAAAUUAGAGUGUUUAAAGCAGGUUUUGUAACCGUUGAAUACAUUAGCAUGGAAUAAUAAUAUAUGACUCGUAUGGUCUAUUUUGUUGGUUUGCACGUAUGAGUAAUGAUUAAUAGGGACAGUUGGGGGUAUUCAUAUUUGAGCGUCAGAGGUGAAAUUCUUGGAUCGCUGAAAGAUGAACUAAGGCGAAAGCAUUUACCAAGGAUGUUUUCAUUA
This 392-nucleotide ribosomal RNA is filed under the name Pythium sp. Its description in RNAcentral is "partial small subunit ribosomal RNA". It matches the Rfam family "Eukaryotic small subunit ribosomal RNA", at positions 587 to 975 of the family's 1831-position model. The record is from RNAcentral. Lineage: Eukaryota; Oomycota; Peronosporomycetes; Pythiales; Pythiaceae.